Molecule: small RNA, 133 nt
Filed under: Enterobacter sp. 10-1
Lineage: Bacteria; Pseudomonadati; Pseudomonadota; Gammaproteobacteria; Enterobacterales; Enterobacteriaceae
Also listed under: 2 other names
Description: RtT sRNA
Rfam family: RtT RNA
About the family: This family represents a bacterial cis-regulatory element known as RtT RNA.
Source: RNAcentral
CAUUCUACCCAUGCGGGAAGGAUGAGAAGCUUCGACCAAGGUUCGACCCGAGCGUCAGCGAGAGAACGUUGCCGCAGGCAACGGCCCGAAGGGUGAGCAGCUUCAGCUGCGAAUAAUCCUUCCCCCACCACCA